UGACCCCUGCGAUGCUCGUAUAGAAAGUAGGUGUUUGAAAGAACCGAUACCCGUACUCAGGGAAAUCAGGCCUUGAUGGAUCGGAAAAGCCUACGUCGAUAGGACUUUCGGACACAAGCAACGAUUACCCACUUGGAAGUAAUGGGUUCUUCUCGAACGCUUUCUUACGGCAUUCGCGGAGGAGGG
RNAcentral lists this non-coding RNA (186 nucleotides) under Planctomycetes bacterium RBG_16_55_9. RNAcentral's name for it is "6S RNA". It matches the Rfam family "6S / SsrS RNA". Rfam says of the family: E. coli 6S RNA was the first non coding RNA to be sequenced, but its function was unknown until recently. It consists of 184 nucleotides that fold into an extended hairpin structure with a large single-stranded internal bulge. The 6S RNA specifically associates with RNA polymerase holoenzyme containing the sigma70 specificity factor. The record is from RNAcentral. Lineage: Bacteria; Pseudomonadati; Planctomycetota.